Molecule: transfer RNA, 72 nt
Filed under: Octopus vulgaris (common octopus)
Lineage: Eukaryota; Metazoa; Mollusca; Cephalopoda; Octopoda; Octopodidae
Also listed under: 1 other name
Rfam family: tRNA
About the family: Transfer RNA (tRNA) molecules are approximately 80 nucleotides in length. Their secondary structure includes four short double-helical elements and three loops (D, anti-codon, and T loops). Further hydrogen bonds mediate the characteristic L-shaped molecular structure. tRNAs have two regions of fundamental functional importance: the anti-codon, which is responsible for specific mRNA codon recognition, and the 3' end, to which the tRNAs corresponding amino acid is attached (by aminoacyl-tRNA synthetases). tRNAs cope with the degeneracy of the genetic code in two manners: having more than one tRNA (with a specific anti-codon) for a particular amino acid; and 'wobble' base-pairing, i.e. permitting non-standard base-pairing at the 3rd anti-codon position.
Source: Rfam by way of RNAcentral
GGUUCUAUGGUGUAAUGGUUAGCACUCUGGACUUUGAAUCCAGCGAUCUGAGUUCAAGUCUCGGUAGAACCU